CGGGGGGAGCAAGCGUUGUUCGGAUUUACUGGGCGUAAAGGGCGCGUAGGCGGCCAGCACAAGUCAGUUGUGAAAUCUCCGAGCUUAACUCGGAAAGGUCAACUGAUACUGUGCGGCUAGAGUGCGGAAGGGGCAACUGGAAUUCUUGGUGUAGCGGUGAAAUGCGUAGAUAUCAAGAGGAACACCUGCGGCGAAGGCGGGUUGCUGGGCCGACACUGACGCUGAGGCGCGAAAGCCAGGGGAGCGAACGGGAUUAGACUACCCCGGUAGUCCUGGCCUUAAACGAUGAAUGCUUGGUGUCGUGGGGUUAUAAACGUCCCCGGGUGCCGUCGCUAACGCUUUAAGCAUUCCGCCUGGGGAGUACGGUCGCAAGACUG
This 377-nucleotide ribosomal RNA is filed under the name uncultured organism. Its description in RNAcentral is "bacterial SSU rRNA". It matches the Rfam family "Bacterial small subunit ribosomal RNA", at positions 526 to 896 of the family's 1533-position model. The record is from RNAcentral.